AUAAAAAAAAGUUAAGAAAAUAUGUAUGUAUACAAAUUUAAUAAGCAGAGUUAAGAAAAUUACUGUAUAUUACGUUGAUACAGUUGAUAAGAGGGAAAGGUAUCAAUAUAUAUAAAUGUAGCGAAUUUAUAGUUGUGGAACUAUUUAUGUAUAUAUUCCUUGACAGAUCUUCAGGAUGAAAAUAAUACUUUUGUUGUUCAUUAUUUUGCUGGAUUCUGAGGAAGCAAAAGACCUUCAAUGGCCUGCUCGAUGUGGGUGCUCGAUUCAAGUCAUCGAUGGUUACGUGACUGCUGAUUGCUCAGAUCAGCCAAGUGUGAACUUUGAAUGUUUGGCAGCGUGGAGGCCAAAUGCCCUGAAUCUCUCAGGAAAUGGCUUGCAAGAAGUCCCAUCAUCCCUGAAUGAAACAGGGUUUGAGAACGUAAUGCACCUCGAUUUGUCCAAUAACAAGAUUGAAAAACUCUCCAGCUGGAGCUUCGGAUCAAUGCUAGGCCUGAAAAGCAUAGAACUUAGCGGAAACAAGCUUACUGACCUGCCCAGAUCUGUUGCAAAAAUAGAUCUGGUUGAUGUGAGCCACAACAAUCUCACCGAUAUUCACAGCAUAAUUGGCCUUGUUAACACUCAGGCAAUAGUAAAAGGAAACCCAAUCAGGUGCAGCUGCCGCUCUCCGAUUGUGAAGAGGAUCUAUGAAACAGAUAGGAAUGUUAGUCUGGAUUGCAUAUUUGGCGACUCGGAAGUUCUACAGCCCCAACCAACGCAGUGCCGAGAUCAAAUUAUCGAAAAUGAACCAUUUUGGACAUCUUGGAGGUUGUAUAUUUUCUUGGUGAUAGGUACUUCAACAAUUGUUGUGACUGUCGUUAUUUUGGGGUGCUGUAGUUUCAACGUUAACAACCAAGGGGACGACAGCGACACGCUAGCUGUUGAUCAUCGUGAUCUCUCGCUAUGCGGCCGCUAUAAUAUUAUUCCACAAUAACCCAUAUGUAUUAACCUAAGCAAUCGUCAGAUCUUUUGAUAUGCCUCCGAUAUCCUUGCUAUACACGGAGCAGAACGGCGCAGAAUUGUCCUAAAGUAAAUGUCAUGAAGCAUCAUUGUUUGUUUUUCUGCUUUUGCCUGUUUUGUAAUCUCUCCCCGCUAAAGCUUGCGCUCUGGUUAGCUUUGACGCUCUUGAGUUUGAUCUCAACUUUCGGCUGCUGCUUCUGCCGGGCCGCGCUGAUGGAGCUGUUGCAGCUCCGACAAACACAAGCACAAACACACAAUAAACAUUUAGCAUAUUUAAAGAACUAUUUCUUUAUUUAAACUAAAUGAAACAAGAGGAUAAUAAAUUAGAAAACUUGGCUGAUCUGGUCGGGAGCUGGGACUCCCAGCCUGGGAGUGAAUCCUA
This is a long non-coding RNA of Drosophila miranda, 1378 nucleotides long. RefSeq lists it as uncharacterized. The transcript has 3 exons. The record is from RefSeq and is a predicted model, not a curated record. Lineage: Eukaryota; Metazoa; Arthropoda; Insecta; Diptera; Drosophilidae.